ACGAACGCUGGCGGCGUGCCUAAUACAUGCAAGUCGAACGCACUCUCGUUUAGAUUGAAGGAGUUUGCUCCUGAUUGAUAAACAUUUGAGUGAGUGGCGGACGGGUGAGUAACACGUGGGUAACCUGCCCUAAAGUGGGGGAUAACAUUUGGAAACAGAUGCUAAUACCGCAUAAAACCUAACACCGCAUGGUGUAGGGUUGAAAGAUGGUUUCGGCUAUCACUUUAGGAUGGACCCGCGGUGCAUUAGUUAGUUGGUGAGGUAAAGGCUCACCAAGACCGUUAUGCAUAGCCGACCUGAGAGGGUAGUCGGCCACACUGGGACUGAGACACGGCCCAGACUCCUACGGGAGGCAGCAGUAGGGAAUCUUCCACAAUGGACGAAAGUCUGAUGGAGCAACGCCGCGUGAGUGAAGAAGGUGUUCGGAUCGUAAAACUCUGUUGUUGGAGAAGAAUGUAUCUGAUAGUAACUGAUCAGGUAGUGACGGUAUCCAACCAGAAAGCCACGGCUAACUACGUG
This 519-nucleotide ribosomal RNA is filed under the name uncultured bacterium. RNAcentral describes it as "partial 16S ribosomal RNA". It matches the Rfam family "Bacterial small subunit ribosomal RNA", at positions 29 to 507 of the family's 1533-position model. The record is from RNAcentral.